RNAcentral lists this ribosomal RNA (120 nucleotides) under Castor canadensis (American beaver). Lineage: Eukaryota; Metazoa; Chordata; Mammalia; Rodentia; Castoridae. The record is from RNAcentral.
GUCUAUGGCCAUACCACCCUGAGUGUGCCUGAUCUCGUCUGGUCUUGGAAGCUAAGGAGGGUCAGGCCUGGUUGUUACUUGAAUGGGAGACAAAUCUGCAAAAGAGACUGCUCAGAGACA